This 1006-nucleotide ribosomal RNA is filed under the name Leptosphaeria zhaotongensis. RNAcentral's name for it is "SSU rRNA". It matches the Rfam family "Eukaryotic small subunit ribosomal RNA", at positions 87 to 1103 of the family's 1831-position model. The record is from RNAcentral. Lineage: Eukaryota; Fungi; Ascomycota; Dothideomycetes; Pleosporales; Leptosphaeriaceae.
CUGCGAAUGGCUCAUUAAAUCAGUUAUCGUUUAUUUGAUAGUACCUUACUACUUGGAUAACCGUGGUAAUUCUAGAGCUAAUACAUGCUGAAAACCCCAACUUCGGGAGGGGUGUAUUUAUUAGAUAAAAAACCAACGCCCUUCGGGGCUUCUUGGUGAUUCAUGAUAACUUUACGGAUCGCAUGGCCUUGCGCUGGCGACGGUUCAUUCAAAUUUCUGCCCUAUCAACUUUCGAUGGUAAGGUAUUGGCUUACCAUGGUUUCAACGGGUAACGGGGAAUUAGGGUUCGAUUCCGGAGAGGGAGCCUGAGAAACGGCUACCACAUCCAAGGAAGGCAGCAGGCGCGCAAAUUACCCAAUCCCGACACGGGGAGGUAGUGACAAUAAAUACUGAUACAGGGCUCUUUUGGGUCUUGUAAUUGGAAUGAGUACAAUUUAAACCUCUUAACGAGGAACAAUUGGAGGGCAAGUCUGGUGCCAGCAGCCGCGGUAAUUCCAGCUCCAAUAGCGUAUAUUAAAGUUGUUGCAGUUAAAAAGCUCGUAGUUGAAACUUGGGUCUGGCUGGCGGGUCCGCCUCACCGCGUGUACUUGUCCGGCCGGGCCUUCCUUCUGGAGAACCUCAUGCCCUUUACUGGGCGUGUUGGGGACCAGGACUUUUACUUUGAAAAAAUUAGAGUGUUCAAAGCAGGCCUUUGCUCGAAUACGUUAGCAUGGAAUAAUAGAAUAGGACGUGCGGUCCUAUUUUGUUGGUUUCUAGGACCGCCGUAAUGAUUAAUAGGGACAGUCGGGGGCAUCAGUAUUCAAUUGUCAGAGGUGAAAUUCUUGGAUUUAUUGAAGACUAACUACUGCGAAAGCAUUUGCCAAGGAUGUUUUCAUUAAUCAGUGAACGAAAGUUAGGGGAUCGAAGACGAUCAGAUACCGUCGUAGUCUUAACCGUAAACUAUGCCGACUAGGGAUCGGGCGAUGUUCUUUUUCUGACUCGCUCGGCACCUUACGAGAAAUCAAAG